UACGUAGGGCGCAAGCGUUGUCCGGAAUUACUGGGCGUAAAGCGCACGUAGGCGGCUUUGUAGGUUAGAGGUGAAAGCCCAGGGCUUAACCCUGGAAUUGCCUUUAAGACUGCAUCGCUAGAAUCGUGGAGAGGUGAGUGGAAUUCCGAGUGUAGAGGUGAAAUUCGUAGAUAUUCGGAAGAACACCAGUGGCGAAGGCGACUCACUGGACACGUAUUGACGCUGAGGUGCGAAAGCGUGGGGAGCAAACAGG
Molecule: ribosomal RNA, 253 nt
Filed under: uncultured bacterium
Lineage: Bacteria
Description: partial 16S ribosomal RNA
Rfam family: Bacterial small subunit ribosomal RNA
Source: RNAcentral